CCUACGGGAGGCAGCAGUGGGGAAUAUUGCACAAUGGGGGAAACCCUGAUGCAGCGACGCCGCGUGAAUGAAGAAGUAAUUCGGUAUGUAAAGCUCUAUCAGCAGGGGAGAAAAUGACGGUACCUGAGUAAGAAGCCCCGGCUAACUACGUGCCAGCAGCCGCGGUAAUACGUAGGGGGCAAGCGUUAUCCGGAUUUACUGGGUGUAAAGGGAGCGUAGACGGCAGUGCAAGUCUGGAGUGAAAGGCGGGGGCUCAACCCCCGGACUGGUAGGGAAACUGUACGGCUGGAGUGCAGGAGAGGGAAGUGGAAUUCCUAGUGUAGCGGUGAAAUGCGUAGAUAUUAGGAGGAACACCAGUGGCGAAGGCGGCUUACUGGACUGUAACUGACGUUGAGGCUCGAAAGCGUGGGGAGUAAACAGGAUUAGAUACCCCUGGUAGUC
RNAcentral lists this ribosomal RNA (441 nucleotides) under uncultured bacterium. Its description in RNAcentral is "partial 16S ribosomal RNA". It matches the Rfam family "Bacterial small subunit ribosomal RNA", at positions 338 to 795 of the family's 1533-position model. The record is from RNAcentral.